UUGCAGUGCUUCUUGGUUUAGCGCUCUCUGUGUCCUUAGAAUAAUAGGAUAGAGCGGCAUUUGAGACAUUCUAUUUUCUAUCACUGGGGUAUUAUUAAAUUGUAAAAGUAUGUUGUUUUUAACAAAUACGCUUAAUCACCAUGGGUCGACGUUUUAGUGUUU
RNAcentral lists this non-coding RNA (162 nucleotides) under Ditylum brightwellii. Lineage: Eukaryota; Bacillariophyta; Thalassiosirophyceae; Lithodesmiales; Lithodesmiaceae. The record is from RNAcentral.